CAUCUUUCCUACCAUCAUAAAGAAUUCAUAAAAAAGAAUACUUUUACUUACAAAUGUACCUCAAAAAGGUAUUCAGAAUUGGAAAAACAGCAGAGAAAAACCUGCUGGCAUUCCAAAACUACUUAAACUGCAGUAUGGAAGCAGCCAGGAGGUACUUUACAGGAUUUGAUGCUGCCUGCUGGCAAACAAGCAUCAUAGUGGAACAGAAGCCAGAAUGGGCUCCAGAGCUGGCAGCUCUGAAAUUAUCACUGCAAGAUUCUGUCUUCUUCAUCAGGGCACACUUUGCCUGACUCAGAAAUCUGGGAUUGUUUUCAAUUAAAGCAUUAAAAAACAAGGGCAAAAAUUUUUACCAAGAAACUUGAAUCCCACGGCCAAAGAAUACUACGUGGAUUAAUCAUUUCUGUUCCCAGGCUUUUGUUGUUUCUGUCAGGGCAGGAGAGUUAACAGCAUAUUUGGGCAAAUACAGUGAGCACGUGACAGUAGCGAUGCUCUAAGAGACAACUCAUGUAUGGCCUUGUUUCAGACUAAGACUUGGAUCCAUCCAGCUGAUUUAACACUGCUACAAUAAACAACAUGGAUAAUUUCCUGCUUUGUCUUAGGCUGCAGAAACUGGAAGCUAUCUGCAGCGUGAAUCACAGAUUUCACAGCAUUACAAUCUGGGGGCAUAACAACUGCAAUGAACUGAGCUUUUGUCUCCAAAAUGAAUGAAAGCAAACCCAAAAAAGAUAUCCCUCUUUCUACGAACUUCUGGAAGUAUUGGUAACCUCAGAAGCCCCAUCCACAGGCUGCCAUGAAAAGCCCUGCACAGCACUGGGUCAUUGCACUAGGACGAUGCAAACCCACCUCGGCUGCCCUGCCUGUUUGCAGGUGGUUAAGAAAGGAGCUUGCCAGUCUGCAGAAAUAGGAUGGACAGAAGGAAACCUCAAACAUGAAGGGCUGUACAAGACAGCCUAGACAUCCCUCUGCAUUCGUAUGCACAAAAUACCUCCUGGUCAAUUUUAGCAUUUGUUGUAUACUGGGAUUUAAGUUGGACACUUUGUGAGCACUGUCAGGAUUUUGCUCUACCACUCAAGCCAACAAAAGUGAAGGCUUAGGCCUCAAUGAAGUAAAUACUUUCUACAACUUCUAUUUUAACUACAUGGCCAAAGUUAACAGCUUGUUUCACGCUGAAGGCAAUUGCUUGUUCCUGUGCAAGGCAACACAAAAAAGGUUUGCCCAAUCAGAAACUUCAUAGAAUAAAUUCAUAAAAGUUUGUCCCCAAAAUAUUAAUCAGAAAAAAAUCCCGAAAAUAUAGGUUUGAUUUCAUUCACCAAACUUAAUAUUUCAGGAAAAAGCAAUCUAGCAAUGACACUCAAAAAUCAAACAUAGGUGUCAAGUUGUAGAAUACUACGAGGGUCAGCAGUACUCUGUUUUACCAAUUAGCCUGCAGAACUUCCACUCUGGUGUUAAUGUGAGCAGAGCAAUGUUGAAUGCACUCUCAUUUCUGCCUACAAGUAUACCUGAGCCAGCCUGGGUCACAGUCCUGUUUCUGACAGUGGCCUAAAGGGACAUGCACAGAAGAGAUCCCAGCAGAGUCACUUUAUAAAGUCCAUUUUCCAGUGCUUUCCAUUCUGUAACUGAAGGAUCUUCCGCAGCUAAGGAAAGCAUGGCUUUGACAUCCAUCGUGGACGUAGCUAGAAUUUAUCUUUUGGGCACUUUUCCAGUCUCUCCUCAAUUCCAUGUGAAGUUUUGGCAUCUGCAGCAACUGUCAGGAAGGACUUCCCCAGCUUAAAGAGGUAUUCUGUGAAACCCUCCUUAAAUGAGUCAGCUGCUAAUUUCACAAGCCUGUCUCUUUGAAUGAAUUUAAUUCCAGAAGACAGAGGGCAACAGGCUUCUUCAAAUCUGACCACAGUUCUGAUUAUGAAACCCACUUCAAAUGUCCCUAAAACCCCAUAUGUUAAUAUAAACAAAUAAAUUCACUUUUCUUGGGUCCUGA
Molecule: non-coding RNA, 1975 nt
Organism: Zonotrichia albicollis (white-throated sparrow)
Lineage: Eukaryota; Metazoa; Chordata; Aves; Passeriformes; Passerellidae
Source: RefSeq, a predicted model, not a curated record